UACGUAGGGUGCAGGCGUUAAUCGGAAUUACUGGGCGUAAAGCGUGCGCAGGCGGUUUGCUAAGACAGAUGUGAAAUCCCCGGGCUUAGCUUGGGAACUGCGUUUGUAACUGGCAAGCUAGAGUGUGGCAGAGGGGGGUGGAAUUCCAAGUGUAGCGGUGGAAUGCGUAGGUAUUUGGAGGAACACCAGUGGCGAAGGCAGCCCCCUGGGUUAACACUGACGCUCAUGCGCGAAAGCGUGGGGAGCAAACAGG
RNAcentral lists this ribosomal RNA (253 nucleotides) under uncultured bacterium. RNAcentral describes it as "partial 16S ribosomal RNA". It matches the Rfam family "Bacterial small subunit ribosomal RNA", at positions 524 to 776 of the family's 1533-position model. The record is from RNAcentral.